GAUAGCAUUUAAGGUCUAACCUGCCCUUGAUAUUAAAAGGCCGCAGUAUUUUGACUGUGCAAAGGUAGCAUAAUCAUUAGUUUUUUAAUUGAAAGCUUGUAUGAAUGGUUGGACGAGAUAUAAACUGUCUUUAAAUUAUUAUAGAAUUUAAUUUUUAAGUUAAAAAGCUUAAAUUUUAUUAAAAGACGAGAAGACCCUAUAAAUCUUUAUAAAUUUUUUAUUAAUUUUUAAGGUUUAAUAAUUUAUAUAAAUUAAUUUAUUUUAUUGGGGUAAUAAAAAGAUUAAAAAAAUUCUUUUUAAUAUACAUUGAUUAUUGUUUUAUGAUCCUUUAUUAUAGAUUAUAAGAUUAAGUUACUUUAGGGAUAACAGCGUAAUUUUUUUGGAGAGUUCUUAUCAAUAAAAAAGUUUGCGACCUCGAUGUUGGAUUAAAAUUAAUUUUAGGUGUAGAAGUUUAAAUUUUUAGUCUGUUCGACUAUUAAAAUUUU
RNAcentral lists this ribosomal RNA (485 nucleotides) under Papuadessus pakdjoko. RNAcentral describes it as "partial 16S ribosomal RNA". The stretch from base 362 to 485 matches the Rfam family "Bacterial large subunit ribosomal RNA", at positions 2473 to 2597 of the family's 2925-position model. The record is from RNAcentral. Lineage: Eukaryota; Metazoa; Arthropoda; Insecta; Coleoptera; Dytiscidae.